RNAcentral lists this long non-coding RNA (1063 nucleotides) under Sorghum bicolor (sorghum). RNAcentral's name for it is "long non-coding RNA (SBIC_LNC018075)". Lineage: Eukaryota; Viridiplantae; Streptophyta; Magnoliopsida; Poales; Poaceae. The record is from RNAcentral.
AAUGGGUAGGUGAUGUAAUGACAGAACAAUUUCUUUCAUAAAGUAUCAUCAGGUAUAAUAAUGCUAUUGAUGCCUUAAUGUAGCAUUCAAUUUUAAGAACAAAAUCAUAUACACACUGUAUGUGAGUCCAAGAAGUUAAAUCUCACAUAUAGCAAUAGAUAAGGGUAAUAUCAAAACAUAAUGCUUAAUAUAUAACAUACUUAAUACAAAAGAUAUAAUCUUAGGUGCAAAUGGUGAAUAGAUAACUUCAAUCCUUCUUGGGUCAAGACUAUACUCCAUAAGGAUAACUAAUUGGUCGGUCACAAGCCUAACUCCUCAAAACUCUAGCAAUCUGGUAUCUAUCCGGAACUUUUAUCGAAAUAAAAUAUAAAAGCAAGCCUAUGUGUCAUACUCAACAAGAAUAUCAUAGGGUUUAUGAGGAUCAAAAGGUUGACAUGGGUUUGACUACAUUUAGUUUUUAGUUAUCACAGUUUUAGCAUUUGAGUAGCAACAAGUUGUUAUAACCCAUAGUAAACACAUGAUCAGGUAAACAUGAUUAAUGAAUAGCAUAAAUAAAUAGUCACUAGUGAUCAUCUAUUCGAUAAAUGUUCCAACCACUUGUAACUGUGAGCACAACUGAUAUAUCAGUUUUACACUCUGUAGAGAUUGUACACUUUCACUGUGAGUCUGAUACUUAUAUACCCAGGUUUAUAACUCCCAAAAUACUCCCAAGGCGAAUAGAAAGGGAUCAUUAUGAAGCAUUUCAAAGGUUCGUCUAACAAGUUAGGGCCGCUAGGUUUCCAUGCCCUGUGAAUGUAGGGCUCCCCUUCUCGAUGGCACAUUCGGUGCAGGCUAUACACAUAAGGAUAGAGGCCACACUACACCCAACAUGAAACACGCCCCAUUUGCACCCUUGUGGGUAACCUAUAACAAGGUAGAAAAGGUCCUCAUGCUUCUAAAACCAGAGCCACUAGAUGAUCACUUAUAGAUAAGUCCUUAGGGAGAGGAAUCUAGAGCAUCCUACCCAAUGCAUUAAUCAUUAUCGACUAUUUAUGGUUGUCAAGUAGGAAAAAGUAUUAUGGUU